RNAcentral lists this ribosomal RNA (864 nucleotides) under uncultured Methanocella sp. RNAcentral's name for it is "bacterial SSU rRNA". It matches the Rfam family "Archaeal small subunit ribosomal RNA", at positions 1 to 872 of the family's 1478-position model. Lineage: Archaea; Methanobacteriati; Methanobacteriota; Methanomicrobia; Methanocellales; Methanocellaceae. The record is from RNAcentral.
UUCUGGUUGAUCCUGCCAGAGGUCACUGCUAUCGGUGUCCGAUUAAGCCAUGCGAGUCGAGAGGUGUAAGACCUCGGCAGACUGCUCAGUAACACGUGGAUAACCUGCCCAAGGGUCCGGGAUAACCCCGGGAAACUGGGGAUAAUACCGGAUGGGUCACCAGUGCUGGAAUGCUUGGUGGUCGAAAGGUGACGCCUUUGGAUGGGUCUGCGGCGGAUUAGGUUGACGCCGGUGUAACGUACCGGCGUGCCUGUAAUCCGUACGGGUUGUGGGAGCAAGAGCCCGGAGAUGGAUUCUGAGACACGAAUCCAGGCCCUACGGGGCGCAGCAGGCGCGAAAACUCUACAAUGCAGGCAACUGCGAUAGGGGGACAUCGAGUGGCAUCCACCUUGGGUGUCUGUCCAACCGUCUAAAAAACGGUUGUUAGCAAGGGCCGGGCAAGACCGGUGCCAGCCGCCGCGGUAAUACCGGCGGCUCGAGUGGUGGCCGAUAUUAUUGAGUCUAAAGGGUCCGUAGCCGGCUUUGCAAGUCCCCUGGGAAAUCCGGCGGCUUAACCGUUGGGCUUUCAUGGGAUACUACAUUGCUUGGGACUGGGAGAGGUAGGAGGUACUCGGGGGGUAGGGGUGAAAUCCUGUAAUCCUCCGGGGACCACCGGUGGCGAAGGCGUCCUACCAGAACAGGUCCGACGGUGAGGGACGAAAGCUAGGGGCACGAACCGGAUUAGAUACCCGGGUAGUCCUAGCCGUAAACGAUGCCCGCUAGGUGUCACGACGGUCGUGAAUCGUCGUGGUGCCGUAGGGAAGCCGCGAAGCGGGCCACUUGGGAAGUACGGCCGCAAGGCUGAAACUUAAAGGAAUUGGCGGG